RNAcentral lists this ribosomal RNA (576 nucleotides) under uncultured bacterium. RNAcentral's name for it is "bacterial SSU rRNA". It matches the Rfam family "Bacterial small subunit ribosomal RNA", at positions 338 to 916 of the family's 1533-position model. The record is from RNAcentral.
CCUACGGGAGGCAGCAGUGGGGAAUUUUGCGCAAUGGGCGAAAGCCUGACGCAGCAACGCCGCGUGGAGGAUGAAGGCCUUCGGGUCGUAAACUCCUGUCAGGGGGGACGAAAGCCGCGCAAGCGGUUUGACUGUACCCUCUGAGGAAGCCACGGCUAACUCCGUGCCAGCAGCCGCGGUAAUACGGAGGUGGCAAGCGUUGUUCGGAAUUACUGGGCGUAAAGGGCGCGUAGGCGGCUUGGCAAGUCAGAUGUGAAAGCCCCGGGCUUAACUUGGGAAUUGCAUCUGAAACUGCUUUGCUUGAGUCCUGGAGGGGGUAGUGGAAUUCCCAGUGUAGCGGUGAAAUGCGUAGAUAUUGGGAGGAACACCUGCGGCGAAGGCGGCUACCUGGACAGUGACUGACGCUGAGGCGCGAAAGCUAGGGGAGCAAACGGGAUUAGAUACCCCGGUAGUCCUAGCCGUAAACGAUGGGCACUUGGUGUUGGGGGUAUUGAGUCCCCCGGUGCCGGAGUUAACAUAUUAAGUGCCCCGCCUGGGGAGUACGGUCGCAAGACUGAAACUCAAAGGAAUUGACGG